Long non-coding RNA from Lepidothrix coronata (blue-crowned manakin), 114 nucleotides. RefSeq lists it as uncharacterized. Lineage: Eukaryota; Metazoa; Chordata; Aves; Passeriformes; Pipridae. The transcript is spliced from 3 exons. The record is from RefSeq and is a predicted model, not a curated record.
CGUAUUGGCCUCGUAAGUCACCAACGUGCCUGUAACAAACGUGGAUAGAGCCUUCCUAAAUCUUCGUUCGCGAAGCCCAGCCAUGUUGUUGUUGUUCAAACACAACCUUGUCAA